Long non-coding RNA from Rattus rattus (black rat), 1696 nucleotides. RefSeq lists it as uncharacterized. Lineage: Eukaryota; Metazoa; Chordata; Mammalia; Rodentia; Muridae. The transcript has 2 exons. The record is from RefSeq and is a predicted model, not a curated record.
AGGGAACCGGGCACCGGGCACCAGCGCUCGAUUUUCCGAGUCCUACUUUCUUUUCGGAGCCCGCUGGGAUAUGUAGUUCCUUCUCUCGUCGUCCAACUCUGGGAGCAAACGUGACUUAAGGAUCUAAAACUACAAGUCCCUGCAUCCCCUGCGACGAAGGCGGUGAGGCAAGGUACAAGGCUUUGUGGUGCUCGGCGUUUGUGAGAUCAACAAAGACAGCUUUGGAAAAGGUGCUUUCUCUGUACGGGGUGGUUAUUUGCACACUGCCCGCGUUCUGUGUAAUCCUCACCACAACCCUGCCAUGCACUAUUGUACCAAACUCAAAGAAACUGCUUGCCCAACACUACAAAGCUGCCCAGUGAUAGAGAUGGCACUGAACCCAGAGCUCUGUCUUUCCAUUACAAAGCAUGCCUCAGUGCUCCGUGUCAAAGGGAGAUAAGCUUGGCUAGCCAAAAGAGAAAAAGAAUGUAACCAGCUGGGAAGUGGUGGGAAUAUAAAUGUUAAUUAGAUAGGACGAGGAAUUAAGAGAAGUUAAAAGCAAGUGCGAUUCUUAGGGGCUGGAUGGGACCUUUUCUUUGUUUGCUCAAGACAAGCCCGGAGUCACCCACUGCACUGUCUUCAGAUUCGGUCCCCUUUGACACAGACCGCUUCCUUUCUUUGAGCUCCUUCGUCUCAGAAUCGUGGCGGAGUACAGGCCAUGCAUCUUGUAAGCGAUCCGUUUGAGUUUGCCUACAGUCUCUUCAUAAUCACAUUCAGCAGCAGGCUCGUGCAAGGUCCCAGCGGUGUUACACAGGAAACGGUGGCAGACAGCGGGGCAGACACCAUCGUUUGGCUGCUGUGACUGAAACUGCAUGGUGCUGUCUCGGUUGGCUGGCUGCUUCUGGGCCUCCAGGUCUCAGAAUAAGUCCAUACUCUCUGUCUACCCAAGCUGGGUAAACUAAGGUUGUUGAACAAGCACGGCCAUGCCUGGGACCCUAAAUUCAGAUCCCAAGAAACGAAAAGGAUGCACUCUGUUUUCAUGGCAUGCAGAGAUGCAAAGGUGGUGUUGAUGAAUUGCAAAGUGUGCAACAGCAGCAUGUGCUCUGUGUGGGCGUGCUUGUGUGUGUGUGUGUGUGUGUGUGUGUGUGUGUGUGUGUGUGUCUGCAGCAGCAGCACAUGCCCUGUGUAAAGGAAAGACUCUUCUUUAUCUGAGAUCAAGCCAGGGGAGACCACAGGUGCACACAGCAAGGCUCUGAGGCUCCAACUGGAGCUUGGUACUGGAGUUCCUCAUCCUCCCCAACCCCCACAGUCCACACCCACUUGCUAACCAAAGAGCUGAAGUGAAACAAAGAAACACUUCCCCCUUCUAGAGACAGGGCUCAGUCAGAGAGAAUCCCUGAAGAACCCAAAGUGGAUUUAAGAAGUUUCUGCUCUCAUCUUUAAAGAAGGAAUCUGGGAAGCUUGUCCUGGUGGACUCUCAGUGUAUGGGAGGAAGAGGCAAGAGAAUUGUUAGUUCUUUGCCAUCCUGGACUCCAUGAAAAGAGUAUCUCAGAGAGGAAAUAGAUUUUGAGAAAUGCUUGCUGCUACUUCUGGAUUAGUAAAACCACACAUGCCGCUUGCAUUUCUUCUCUGGAUACUUGGAAAUGGCUGGCAUCCUGUGGACACUUGGCACGAAUAAAACUCGAUUGGACUAUGGACUGAUACUGCCUACCUCAAA